This is a long non-coding RNA of Alligator mississippiensis (American alligator), 11057 nucleotides long. RefSeq lists it as uncharacterized. The record is from RefSeq and is a predicted model, not a curated record. The transcript is spliced from 8 exons. Lineage: Eukaryota; Metazoa; Chordata; Crocodylia; Alligatoridae.
UGUGCAUGGGGGUGGGUGACGAUUCAGCGCUUCCCCUCCCUGCCCCGGAACAAUACGAGACGCGAGGUGGCGAUGGGACAAAGAGGAUCCCCUGCCCCCCACCCCGAAAAGGAGAGUGGGGGAAGCAAAAAAUAGCCUGGAAAUAUCGGGAACGCGACGCCACUGCCUCUAUUAUAUUAUUAUUUUGUGCAGCUUUUCUCCCACCCCCGGGGGAAGUUUCUGGGUGCAGAUCAAGAGAGAGAAGGGGAGUGGGGGAAGUGCACCGAAGUCCAAAGGUCCUCGCUGCCCCCCUGCAAAGUUUCAAAGUGGUUUUAAAUUCGCAGAGCAAAGGCUGCAAAGUGUCUGCUCGCAGCUCCAAGCACUUCCAGCUCCUCCGGGAGCAGCGAUGCCGGGUUUCAAUCCGAAUUAGACGCAGCUCUCUCCGGGCACACGCGGCGGGGAGACGCCGCGGGAUGCGGGGAUGCGCCGGGGCGCGGCCCCAGGUAAGUCCCUGCCGCUGCUCCCGCUUGCGGGGUAGCCCCCACCCCCGUGCAGCCGCAGCCCCCGGGUCGCCUUCAUCUGCCUCCUGAAGUUGGCAAUUCCUCGUGCCGUGGGGAUGGAUGGUCCUGGCUGGGCUGGGUGAGGCAGAGCGGGCUUGGGGAUGCGCAGGGAAGGCAGCAACUUUCUGGGGGCAGUGGGAUCCCGUGGGGAUGUCUGAAAGCGGGGAGAGAAAACUUUAAACGUGGAGGAAAAAAUGUGGCAGGGGGCCAGCCUGCAAGGGGCUGCUUGGGGUGUCCCCCCGCAAUGCCCCUUACCCCCUGGUCAGGAGUGAGGGGCACUGGUGAGGACUGCCCAGCCCUGAUGACAAAUGGUGUAAAAAAAAAACCCCCAUGGGGAGCCCCUGAUUUAGGUGAGAGGCACAGCCGCUCCCCAAAGGGCCUGUAGUUUUUAUUUUUUUCUCUCUCUCUUUCCUAUGGCUGACUUGGAGCAACAAUUUUAAGUCCAGUUUAAGGUUGGUUAAGCAGUCUAAUGCUCUUGAGGAAAGGGGAUGUCCCUUGGCAAGGUCACCCUCAAGUUGGUGUGGAGGGCAGAGUGCUGUUAUGAGGUCCACGGUUUGAUCACAGUCACGUUCUGCAGGACUCCUAAUUCGCCAUCUGUGCAUCAAGUGACGGCAGCCGCCAUGCCAGGGGUGGUAGUGAGGACCUGUAAGGCAGCUCUUCAAACAAAAAUAUUCCAGGAUAUUGGGGGGGAGGCAGGGGGAUGCUUCCCCUUCUCCCAUCUAAGCUGAGUUCACGAAAGCUUAUGUUCUUAUAUAGUUUAUAUAGUUAGCCUAUAAGGUGCAUAUCUACUCUGCCUCUUUCUCAAAGCCACAUUCAGCUGCUCUGGAUAUCUUCCCUCUUCACCCCUGCCCCCAACUUUUCUUUGUUGCUUUAUUAAUAAAGCACUUGAAGUAGUAAAAUCAAUUGAUAGUGUCUCUUUCUUUUUUUUUUUCCUUCUCAAAGGUAAAUCUCCUUUGGAACAGUAAGUGGAUAAGAACAGUUUAUUACUAAUUAUUACCCAGCUUUCCAUCUUGGUACCUUUACAGCCAGGUGGAUUCAGUUUUAAUUUAAGUGGAGGUGGAUGUAUUGGGUGGUUUCAGUUACAAAUUAGGAGAAUGGAGAGAACAAGUUAUGGUUUCUUGAUUGAUAUGGGUUUUCGAAAUGCAUUUAUGUGCUUGUGCGCAUGCGUGUGUGACAUAUAUAUAUAUGUCUGUGUUGAGUGUGUGUUGUGUGUAUGUAUGUGUAUACAUAUAUGCAUGUGUGUAUUUAUACAUGCAUAUGUGUGUAUAUAUAUAUAUAUGCAUGUGUGUAUUUAUACAUGCAUGUGUGUGUGUAUAUACACGCGUAUAUAUAUUAUACAUGGGUUCAACAUGGACAUGGGUUCAACACCAUAUAUGCACGUGUGUAUUUAUACAUGCAUAUAUAUGUGUGUGUAUACAUGUGUGUAUAUAUGGGUAUAUGUGAGUGUGUGUAUAUAUGUGCAUCUAUGUGUAUACACACUCACACACAUUAAAUACAGUGAUCCUCAAAUUAGUCUUUGGGAAAAGUCCGUUUUUUCUAGGACUGUUUUUAAACCUUUUAAAACAUGAUGCUGCAGAGGUUUGGUUUUGGUUUUUUUUUUUGUAAGCCAGCAGCCUUUAGAGAUAUGUAAAAGGAUGUUCUGUAUGAAUUUUGACUGAAAAAAAAAUUGAACCCCAGCUACAGGCAAAUAAAUGCAUGAAAAAACUCAACUCCUGAAGCACUCAAACUGGUGUUUUCUUUCCAAAUUGCUAUUCCAGGCACGUAACACCCAGCCCAAGGAUGCUGCAUCCAAGAAAUAUUAAUCUAAAUUACUAUUAAUAAGGGACAGCUACAAGUUAAUUGGUAUUAAAAUAAUUCAUUUCAAUUUGUUAAUAUUAAAUGAACAGAGAGCACUUUUGCUUAAAACGCACUCUUGUUCUGUCUUUCCUGCUAGCUGAAAAAAAAAAAUUCUCUGCAAAGAGACUUUUCCUAGCAAUGGAGAUUUUAUUUGGGGUUUGGUUUGAGUGCCCCCCAGCUCCCCCUGUGCCCCAUCAGAAAACCCCUGGGUCUGAUGAUGGCAGAGCACAUUUCCCAAACUCACCUGAACGACUAGAAACCGGAGCAGAAUUUGAGGUGGGCCCCUGUGUUUCUAGAGGUUAGUGGCGGGAUGCGAUCAAGCCACCGUCCCAUUCAAUCUCCCCCAAAACUUCUCCCAGUCUCCAAGGAGAAUUUCCUUGUCUCAUCCUCUGAGUCACCUCUUUUCCUGGCAUGGGACAUGGGUUCAACACCAUCAAUGACUGCAUGCCACGUUUAGAUGACUUUUCGACCACUUGAAAGUCUAAUAAAAUAUUUAAGCCAUGUAUCCUGCUAUUGAUUUUAUGUAAAAAUGUUCGGCUGGUGGAAUUCAUUAGGUCCAAGUUCUCCCCCGUCUUCAGUUGCCCCGUUCCCCAUCUGUUUACUUCCCGUGGAGCCAAACAGAGAGCGGCAUUUUGAUUAAUAUUUACAGGGUUCUGUCUCUUUAAUUCAUUCAGCAGCACUCUCCUUUUGCUUGUCAACUGAAAUCUGGAUGCAGAUGGCACCUAGGAAAGCUAGCACAAGCAGGGGAGGCGGGGGGCGGGAUAAAAAGAGUCUUUGUGGCAAGGACGUGAAUAAAAUAAGUGUCUGUAGAGCACUCAGGGCCUCAGUGGCUGGACUGGAGAAGUUGUUCAGACAGGCCUGUUCCAAGCCAAGACACGUGGCUUUUUGGAUCCAGCCGCGCCACAUACGUAUUAAUAUCUGCUGUGCCAAGGAAGAGGCUGGACGCACGCUGGUCCAAUGGUUUGUCCUGGUCAGGCCUCUAUGUAGCUCGCUGGUACCUGGACUCCAUCCAUCCGCACUGUCUUCCUCGACUGCAAAUACAAGGUGCCGUUUCAUCCUGGCUUCUGCCUGAAUUUAUUGCACGGUGGAUGUGUUUGCAGCACAGAGAGGGAGCAGGGAAAGAGGAAUAGCAAGGUGCCAGGAUCCGCCAUUAACAUCGGCUCCCAGGAGGAUUCCAAAUAUUUAAAUUGCUAAUCAACUAAGAGCUGUCACCUCCCAGCCCCAUGUUUGUCUUUGCAUAAAGAAGGGUGGAAAAAAAAAAUCCGCUAACAAGAAAAAAGAAAGCAAGGUAGAGAUUUCCCCCAGCACUUCGAGUGGGACCUCUGCCACCGUCAUCAUGGCCAAGGAUACGUGGAAGGUGUGGGCCUUUAAGAAGCUGGGUGGGUUUCCCCUGACGUCUUUUGCAAAACCAGCCUCGUUGCACUGCAAGCCAUGAAAUAUAUGCUUUCUGCCAAAUUAAUAGACGCUUAAAAUCUAGUUAGGCUGCCAUUUUUCACGAAACGGGAGCCUUUCAUUCUUGAACCGAAGACACAUUCAUCACUGUUUGCAUGUAAGACCCCAACCACGCUCUUUAAUAUUAAAGUUCAAUAUUUUAUUAGGAGUUGGGGGCUGGGGAAGAAACCGGAAUGGAUUCGCAGAGACACAUCGGUGUUUUGCAGUAGAUAAUGUGCCAACCAGCUGACUCGUCGAGGGGAACGUGGCUGCUGCUCUAUAGUUCUCCUUUUAAAGUAAAAAGCUGGAGACAGUCCUGGCUUCCACCCAACCUCAUGGAUUUUGUCUACACUGAAAAGUUGUUUCCAAAGUGAGGAAGUCAUAUGGACCCAAGGUCUUGCGACUGGUGGAGCUUCCCCUACAUUAAGGGUGCUUCCACAGCCUCCGAGUACCCAGCAUAAUCUGAUUUGAGCUUUGCCUGAAAGAAGAAGGCAGUGCCUGAAGCUCUCUCCCCCGUGUUGGGGUAGAAGGAUGAUGUGCCGUGUCCAGCGCGGCGAUCUGAUUGUCUGCUGGCGCAUGGAGGCACAGGAAGAUGCUGGUGGAAAACACAAUGCGGCAUUGACAAGCAGGGAGGAAGUGGAACAGAUGCCUAGAGAAGUUGUGGACUCUCCAUCACUGGAGACGUCAGGAAGAAGUUGGACAACCACUGGUCGGGGGUGAUAUAUCUGUGCUCUACUGUGGGUAUUUCCCAGGCUUCUGGGCUUUGCUGGUUGCCCCCUCCUCUUUUUUCUCCUCCAUUUGUGUGGGUGUUUUAAAGCCUUCUUCAGAGGCAUUGGCUGCAGCAAAGGCUAGGGAUUUUGGGUGGAUGCUCCCGCUGGGACCAAAGCCAGAGAGGUUCCUGGCUGGAGGGUCUUACCCUUUUGCUCAGGAUCAGACUGAUCACAGUAUCUGAGGUCAGGAAGGAAUUAUAUGGUAAGGACUGCAGGGGUUUUGACUUCCUCUGCAGAGGCGGCCGGGUGGGUAUGGCCCCCUGCCUAGGCUCUCUUGAGCAUAUGUUAACACCCUUUUUUUUUAGAAGCACAUCUGGGAAGUCAGCGCCAGGUAUGCAUGCUUUCCCGAUGUGAAGGCAAAAGUAUUCUCCUUUGAAAAAUACCCUGAACUGAAGAGGAAGAAAAAAAAAAAAACCCUUUGCAGAAUUCAGAGUGCAAAUGCAGAUGGAGAGCAUUGUGCGCCUUUUGAAAACGUGCUUUCUGUUUAUUUUAGAUCAGAGCAGCUUUCCACAAAACCUCAGAUGGAACAAGCCCAGACGCUGACCUCGGGCUAAACGCGGGAUGUUUUUCAAGUGCAGGAAAGAAUUUCUCUUAUUUAUUUCUUUUGAACGUUGCAAACAGAAAGAAUGCGAGAGAGGAAAGAGCCAGGGGAACAUGUAGCAAUGAAAAAACCUGUUCUGUUGUGGUUGGGAGCGAUCAGUAAACUCUGAAUCCCCUUCUGUAUCUGCUCCCGGAGCUCGGGUUGUAUAAAGAUACAGACUCCUUCUGCCUCCGCCAAUAAAAUAUAGUACCCAGAGAUGGGGGUGGUGGGGGGUGGAAAAUGCUAUAAAUUUCCAGUAUUUAUACAAGAAGAUGAAGUGUAUGGCAGGCCAAAAGGCGCACACAGUAAUGCGUUUUACAUAGCGCCAUAAUAUCCCCUUUGUGUUUGGAAGGCUCUCCAUUGCGAUCUGGAUUCCCUUUGGUGCACUUUGUCAGCUGGCCUUUUUAUUUAUUUAUUUUAGGCUGGAAAGUUUGGACGACAAAAUAUGGAGUCAGUUGGAUCUAGCCAAAGUCUGCUAUUUCUUUCUUUCUUUUUUUUUUUCCCUCCCUUCCUCUGCAUUUUAUUAUUAUAGCAGCUUUGAGAAAUGUGUCUUGGUAGGAGCAUUGGUGUAUUAAUACUUUCCACCUGCUUUGCACAAUGCUAUUUUAGGGGUGUGUGCGUGUGUGUGCAUGUGUGUGUGUGUAAGUGUUGCCAACUCAAAUGAUUUUGUUGAAAGUCCUGUGCUUUUUGGUGGAGUGUUUCUUUUUUUCCCCCGCCAACUCCCCCAUUGCCUGAACACCUGGAGUGAUGUGACUAUCUGAGAAUCCCCGCUCUCAUUAAAAAAAAAGAAAAACAAGAAAUGUCUAUCUCCCUGGUCACAAAGAAAACCUUGAAAACAAGCCCAAAGGCUCAAAGAAGAAAAAAAAAAAACCCCAGAAGGCAAAUAAAAACAGAGCUCAGAAGACUCCAGAAUGGAGCAUUUUAAAAAAAAUAAUCCCAUGAUUUUAAACCAACCUUGUGAUUCUGGAGCAGCGGGUGAUGCCAAUAUUUACAGGGCACUGAAAUGUAUGGCAACCUACAACUUCAAGAGCCACCUUCUCUUUUAUCCGUGCCCAUCUUUGACACUAAAUACAGCUGUUCACAAUCCAUUUGUAGCACCUAGCAGUUUGCAUGUAGCAGACAGGCCUGGUCUGAAGCAGCUCACGGUAUAAAAGCAAAACUUUGGAGAAGUGUAUUGUACAAUAGCUGGGAAUGAAACUCAGCUCCGGGCUCCUGGCCUCCUCACUGGACUAUGUUGCCUUUCCAAAUAACCAUCAUGGGAUUAUAUAGGCAACUCCCCGAGUUUUUGACUCUGACUGCUUACUCUGGCAAGCUUCCACUUGAAAUCAGUGGGAGUUUGCUGUGAGUCAACACUGAGAAGAAGCAGAGGAAAGGCGCUGUCAUUUGAAAGGCAAAGCCCUAAUCGCGGGAAGCAACCGGAGAAGAAAUGGUCUUGCUGCACUGCACUGCACAAACCUUUAUUGACAGGAGACAAAGUAGGGAGGUUUUAAGAUUUAGCCUAUUCAGAUAAGAUACCCAGGGUCUUAAAGGAAGGCACAUCAGCUGCUUGUCAGUAAUGUCACAUAUAGGGUUGCCAACUCUUCCGGGAGGUUUCCGACAUGCCCAUGACACGCAAUGCAAACGUGCCCGCAUGCUGCAUGUAUCAGUUAUGGAUUACAGUGCAUCGACUUUACAUCAGGGAGGCAAAUGCACAUUACUAUUACAUUUUAAAACCCCCCUGGAUUACUGUAUAAAUCGGAUUCAACAUUUCAUAUUUAUUUUAAUGAAUGCUCUAUCAUUUUUCUCCCGGGGGGGUGUCCUGGAGAUUUAUAUCUAAUUCCUGGAGACUCCAGGGCAAUUCUGAAGGGUUCGCAACUCUAAUCACAUAUCCCAGAUCUUUCCCUGUGAGGCAGCUUUCAAUGAGGGCCAAGCUACCUUGCAUUUACUGGGAGUAACUGUGUGCACACAGGCAGUUAUCAGGCAAUAGUGGAUGCACUGUCAUUUCACCCCUUACCGGUGGUAAUUUGUUCCUGUAGCCACGCUCUCCGGCACCUAAAACAGGGCUGAAGUGGACUUUAGAUGCCUAAGUGCAGACUUCUGAUACCAAAUCUCUCUGCUCAGCAGCUGUCUGCAUCUCAAGGCAAUGCAAAAAACAAGUGCCAAAGUCUCCUGGGAGGUCUGGUCCAGAAGGUGUGGCCUGAACCUGCCUAAUGUCUGCGGACAGAUUGGGGCCUUUGCAAACGUGGUUGCAAUUUGGGGCCGUCUUCUCCCUGAGGGAACUCAAACCUGCAUCUCUCCGGGAUGCCGGAGUGAGGCUGGAGACCUGUAUUAUGCAUGAAACAGAAACCAGGAAUAAUACAGAGACUGGAAUCCAGAACUUCCUCCCCCUUGUUAGGUGCCCAAACCCCCUAGGCUGCUGCGCCAGGUCCCCUCCCUUGCACGUUCUCCUUCUGGUCCCAUGAAUUUUGCAUUGCUUCCUGCAGCGUGGCACAGCUAUGACGGGCAGGGUGGAGAAUGUCUCCAUCCAGCCCAGCUUCAUAGGGCCGGUAAAGAGCUGGGCUGGGUGGAGACAGAGAGAGAGCUGGUAAAGGCUCUCUCCUGGGAGACGUAGCUUUGAAACCCCUUCUGAGGCAGGAAUGAAGCCCAGCUCUCCCACCCGGACCAGUGCUCGUUACCCAGUUUUAAAGGAACUCGGUUCGUUGGAAGAGGAGCUGUCGACCUGUAGAUUCUGGGCUCUGGAUCUCGAGAGAUUCCUCCUUCAGUUGUGGAGGAGGGUUGGAGUUCAGACACAACUCUCUGCUACCUCUACACACCUUCCCCUUCCCCUUGCUGGACCUUGAAGCACUUAAACGGGUAGACGUCUCAGUGACAUGUAGCUCAGGGUGACCACCUCAAUUCAGUGGAAGGGCUGGGAAAGGACCCAGGAGUCCUGAUGCGGGCUGCCAGCAAGACGAUAACAGAAAAGGCUGGAAGGUGGGUAGAGUGGGGUCUUAAAGAGACUUUGUUGUGAGAUAAGGUCAAGCUAUUAAGUGGAUCCCAAAUGAACUUUAGCAUGUGUUAGAUUUGGAAGGGGAAAACCUAAUCCUUUUUGAAGCCAGUGGGAAUUCUCCCCUGUGCUUAAAGUUUCAAUGCAUCUGCUUAAAUACUUUGCUACAUCAGGGCUUUCAGCAAGAAAUCUCCCCUUGUCUUUCCAGUUGAAGGUGGUCUGUGCCUAGAGACGUCUGGCUGCAAGACCCCAAGUUAUAUAUAAUUUUUUUUUUCAAAGCCAUUAGAAUACACAGCAGAAAACCCUUGGUGCAGAAAUUCUUGGAUGUACAGAGCGCACACACUCCAAGCUAUGGUCUGUUAGAAAAAACAACACAGGGACGUUUUCCUAUUACAAUAAUCAGUCAAACGUUACCGCGCGAGGCAGUAAUAUCCAUUCCCACCUACAUGAGCCGGGACUCGGCUGGGCACGCCGCAGAUGUAUGCUCCGUGAAAAGAGCCACAGCAUUCAGAGAAAGGAAAUCAAACUGCACAUUAAGAGGUUGUCGCAAGGGACAUCAGGAAAAAGAGAAAUGCAGGCGUAUAUUUAACUCAGGCGAAGGCCAUCAUUUGAAGCCACACACAUUCAAGACAUGGAAAAUACAGGCUAAAGCCCAUUCCCUAAUUACAGACAAGCUUAGCUCAAGUAUAGCUUUAUCGUUUAAGUUAGAGUUUUACUAAUUUAAUGUUUGUUGAGGAUGGGAUCCCUGAGGGGUGUUAACAGGCCUCCUGCUAAUCUAGACGAUGCUAGGGUGGGAGUUCAAGUCAAGCUGCAGCUCCUGUGAAUGUUUAUCUAGGGCAGUAAUUCUUAGUCAGGGGGUUGUGAGAUCCAUUGAAGGGUGCUGUGGGGUACCAUGCAAUAUUGGCACAGCUAAGGGUGCCAAUGCCUACACAGGAUAAACCCAGAGAUGAUACCCACAGGAUAAACCCAGAAAUGCCCGUAGGCAUUUGUAGCAACCAAGCCAUUUUGUCCGGUUUGGUCAUGCUGAGUUCUUUGAACAGAAGAAGUGCUCUGUUAUUUUUCUGUGGUCAAAAAACAACAAAAAAAGUGAAAGAGCUGGAAAUUUUCUGAAGGCUUUGGGUCUAAUGAGGGGGGGAGCCUUGAGUCCAAAAGGAUUGAGAAUCACUGAUCUACAAAGGUCAUGUUCACUGGACAAAAUAAUGGAUCAGGAGUCUGGAAACUUGGGUUUUAUUCCUAGCUCUGACUUCCUGGGUGAGAGCCUUUAUGCCAAAGCACUCACUGUGCAAACGGAUGCAGCAAUACACACACAAAGGAGGACAAGCUGAGGCCCAGACAGGGGAAGCAGGAUGCGCAGAACAGGCCCAGCCUUGAGAUCAACCAGCUGUGCGGAAAGGGAGAUGCCGUCACUCCCGUCUUCUCGCACUUUGUGAGGAAGAUCUGGGGUAGAUGCUCUCCAGUCAAGAGCUCGGGGCUCUGAAUCUUGAUCCGAGGGAGGCCUGUCCAGCCCAGAGGGCUGUUUGUGCAAGGUGACAAUGAAAUCUCAGAGCGAGAUGUCGUUUUGAAUGGAACCGUGGAAAUGUGGCAUUUGGAAAAGUUUCCAGGAUCCUGCUAUACCUUGGUGUCCUGGAGCAAUGAACCCUCUAGUCCAGUGGAUAUCAUUUGCAGGCCCCUAAAAAAACUCAAAUGGAGAUGCGGACCCCUUUGGAAAUUUCGAGUGGAGGUGCAGUCCCCUUUGAAUUGGAAGGAAAAUAUUUCUCUUGGAAAUGCCGACCCAGAUUUGAUUCCCGAUCUCAACAUUUGCUACAGCUUCACGUGAACGGGGCUGUUUGACAAUUGAUUUCAAUGCAUAGGAAUCAUUUAGGAACCUGCGAUAAACCGUGUAUUUUCUUACAUAUGCCGUGCCUCCAAAAAAAUAAACUUUGGAAAAAAACCCGCAAAAAGGUUUUGAAAGGCAGAAUGAAAAAAAAAAGAUCUUUCCUUGAAAGCCUCUUCCACGGAGAAAAGGGAAUGGGUUCACAGCCAGCACCUAGGGAUACCUUCUUGCAGCACCUGCAGCUUGAUUUUACUUUCCCCUGAUGGAGUUUAAGUCGCAGAAACUGCUUGUACUGUAUUUUCUCAUUUAUCCUGUGCACUCUUAUUUCCCACAGCUGAAUUUCAGGAAACACAUACUUGUUGUACACAAGAAAAUAUGGUAAGACACGUCGGCUUUCAUGGUGCAUGCUAUAACUGAUAUUUAAUUUUACAAAUUUGAAAGAGAAAAAAAUUUUCCUUUUUUUUUUCAACAUAUAGCCCCUUCCAGCAUUCACUUUCUGAGCACCAAGGGGUGUAUGCCUUCUUUUUGCUGCCCUGUUCUGGUCCUAUGGUAGAGCCCAGGGUGGCAGAAAGCAUCUCUAAGGGGUAGCUACUCUGCCUCCCUGUGUAUGUGGGUGGGGGCAACAAAAAGCUCCCUUCUCCACCCUCUGUGCCAGGCAGCAUGGCUGUGCCAGUGAAGGGUGCCCUAGGUAUGGGGCAGGAUGUGUCUCAAAUAGAGCAGGUUGGAAGAGGUGCUGACUUCCAAUGGGUUUCUCGGUCUGCUCCUCGGGUUUCUUGCCAACGCGCCCUCUCAUCCCCUCGGCCUAACGACAAAAGCCAUGCUCGAGCCCGUAAUUUAAGGCGGAUGCUUUCGAUUUCCAUCAGGCUUUCCCGAAAGACUUUCCUCUUUGUGAUGAAUGAACUUUUAAUGGAGAAGAAUAGGCCGCCUUGUUUUAAGUGAAACGUUUAUAAGGAAGCCGAUGAUUUAAACAACUUUAGCUCCAUUAAACAAAAGAGGAAACUGGAUCUUAAACCCUCAUUUAUUUUGAGGAGAGUCUGGCCUGGGAUAAACAUGACAUUAAGUAGCCAUCUGAGCAUUGCUAAAACAUACAUUUGCCUUAGUAAUAAAAUGUUUUUGAGAGAUA